This 201-nucleotide long non-coding RNA is filed under the name Homo sapiens (human). RNAcentral describes it as "non-protein coding lnc-MTURN-2:2". Lineage: Eukaryota; Metazoa; Chordata; Mammalia; Primates; Hominidae. The record is from RNAcentral.
CAGAAAAGGAGACCCAAGCAGCAGCACCCAGGGCAGAGCCUCCGUUCCUACUUCAUGGAUGUGAAAUACCCAGGAUGCUACAAAAUCACCAUGGUCUUCAGUCACAAACGUGUGUUGGCCGCGCCACCAUCCUCUCUCUGCCAGCGCACAGGAGGAAAAGCAAGACCCACAGAAGGACGUUCCUGUAGGAGGAAGCAGCAC